This 564-nucleotide ribosomal RNA is filed under the name uncultured bacterium. RNAcentral describes it as "bacterial SSU rRNA". It matches the Rfam family "Bacterial small subunit ribosomal RNA", at positions 94 to 655 of the family's 1533-position model. The record is from RNAcentral.
AGUGGCGGACGGGUGAGUAACGCGUAGGAAUCUGCCUCAUAGUGGGGGACAACUUGGGGAAACUCAAGCUAAUACCGCAUACGCCCUACGGGGGAAAGCGGGGGACCUUCGGGCCUCGCGCUAUGAGAUGAGCCUGCGUUAGAUUAGCUAGUUGGUGGGGUAAAAGCCUACCAAGGCGACGAUCUAUAGCUGGUCUGAGAGGACGAUCAGCCACACUGGGACUGAGACACGGCCCAGACUCCUACGGGAGGCAGCAGUGGGGAAUAUUGGACAAUGGGCGCAAGCCUGAUCCAGCAAUACCGCGUGUGUGAAGAAGGCCUGAGGGUUGUAAAGCACUUUCAAUUGGGAGGAAAACCUGUCGGCCAAUACCCGGCAGCUUGACAUUACCUUUAGAAGAAGCACCGGCUAACUCCGUGCCAGCAGCCGCGGUAAUACGGAGGGUGCGAGCGUUAAUCGGAAUUACUGGGCGUAAAGCGUGCGUAGGCGGUUAUUUAAGUCAGAUGUGAAAGCCCCGGGCUUAACCUGGGAACUGCAUUUGAUACUGGGUAACUAGAGUUUAGUAGA